Molecule: ribosomal RNA, 502 nt
Filed under: uncultured bacterium
Lineage: Bacteria
Description: bacterial SSU rRNA
Rfam family: Bacterial small subunit ribosomal RNA
Source: RNAcentral
AGAGUUUGAUCAUGGCUCAGAUUGAACGCUGGCGGAAUGCUUUACACAUGCAAGUCGAACGGCAGCACGGGGGCAACCUGGUGGCGAGUGGCGAACGGGUGAGUAAUACAUCGGAACGUGCCCAAUCGUGGGGGAUAACGUAGCGAAAGUUACGCUAAUACCGCAUACGAUCUACGGAUGAAAGCGGGGGAUCGCAAGACCUCGCGCGAGUGGAGCGGCCGAUGUCAGAUUAGGUAGUUGGUGGGGUAAAGGCUCACCAAGCCAACGAUCUGUAGCUGGUCUGAGAGGACGACCAGCCACACUGGAACUGAGACACGGUCCAGACUCCUACGGGAGGCAGCAGUGGGGAAUUUUGGACAAUGGGCGCAAGCCUGAUCCAGCCAUUCCGCGUGCAGGAUGAAGGCCUUCGGGUUGUAAACUGCUUUGUACGGAACGAAACGGCGAGCUCUAAUACAGUUUGCUAAUGACGGUACCGUAAGAAUAAGCACCGGCUAACUACGUG